This 74-nucleotide transfer RNA is filed under the name Petromyzon marinus (sea lamprey). Its description in RNAcentral is "tRNA-Asn (GTT) (tRNA-Asn-GTT-22-1)". It matches the Rfam family "tRNA". From Rfam's summary of the family: Transfer RNA (tRNA) molecules are approximately 80 nucleotides in length. Their secondary structure includes four short double-helical elements and three loops (D, anti-codon, and T loops). Lineage: Eukaryota; Metazoa; Chordata; Hyperoartia; Petromyzontiformes; Petromyzontidae. The record is from RNAcentral.
GUCUCUGUGGCGCAAUUGGUUAGCGCGUUCGGCUGUUAACCGGAAGGUUGGUGGUUCAAGCCCACCCAGGAACG